AUACGUAGGGUGCGAGCGUUGUCCGGAAUUACUGGGCGUAAAGAGCUCGUAGGUGGUUUGUCGCGUCGUCUGUGAAAUUCCGGGGCUUAACUCCGGGCGUGCAGGCGAUACGGGCAUAACUUGAGUACUGUAGGGGAGACUGGAAUUCCUGGUGUAGCGGGGAAAUGCGCAGAUAUCAGGAGGAACACCGGUGGCGAAGGGGGGUCUCUGGGCAGUAACUGACGCUGAGGAGCGAAAGCAUGGGUAGCGAACAGGAUUAGAUACCCUGGUAGUCCAUGCCGUAAACGGUGGGCGCUAGGUGUAGGGGUCUUCCACGACUUCUGUGCCGUAGCUAACGCAUUAAGCGCCCCGCCUGGGGAGUACGGCCGCAAGGCUAAAACUCAAAGGAAUUGACGGGG
Molecule: ribosomal RNA, 398 nt
Filed under: uncultured bacterium
Lineage: Bacteria
Description: partial 16S ribosomal RNA
Rfam family: Bacterial small subunit ribosomal RNA
Source: RNAcentral